GACGAACGCUGGCGGCGUGCUUAACACAUGCAAGUCGAACGGAAAGGCCCUGCUUUUGUGGGUUUCUCGAGUGGCGAACGGGUGAGUAACACGUGAGUAACCUGCCCUUGACUUUGGGAUAACUUCAGGAAACUGGGGCUAAUACCGGAUAGGAUCUCCUGCUGCAUGGUGGGGGUUGGAAAGUUUCGGCGGUUGGGGAUGGACUCGCGGCUUAUCAGCUUGUUGGUGGGGUAGUGGCUUACCAAGGCUUUGACGGGUAGCCGGCCUGAGAGGGUGACCGGCCACAUUGGGACUGAGAUACGGACCAGAAUCCUACGGGAGGCAGCAGUGGGGAAUAUUGCACAAUGGGCGGAAGCCUGAUGCGGCAACGCCGCGUGCGGGAUGACGGCCUUCGGGUUGUAAACCGCUUUCGCCUGUGACGAAGCGUGAGUGACGGUAAUGGGUAAAGAAGCACCGGCUAACUACGUG
This 468-nucleotide ribosomal RNA is filed under the name uncultured bacterium. Its description in RNAcentral is "partial 16S ribosomal RNA". It matches the Rfam family "Bacterial small subunit ribosomal RNA", at positions 28 to 507 of the family's 1533-position model. The record is from RNAcentral.